GCAGGGAUAGUUUAGUAGCCUAGAACGCCGUAAAUAUCCUUAUUCACAACUUGCCCCAUCGGGGACGACGAAUUAGGGUUAUCGCCUUCCACGCCGGAGACGCGGGUGCAAAUCCCGCUCCCUGCUCCA
This 129-nucleotide transfer RNA is filed under the name Rivularia sp. (in: cyanobacteria). RNAcentral's name for it is "Rivularia sp. (in: Bacteria) tRNA-OTHER". The record is from RNAcentral. Lineage: Bacteria; Bacillati; Cyanobacteriota; Cyanophyceae; Nostocales; Rivulariaceae.